Molecule: unclassified non-coding RNA, 745 nt
Filed under: Hevea brasiliensis (rubber tree)
Lineage: Eukaryota; Viridiplantae; Streptophyta; Magnoliopsida; Malpighiales; Euphorbiaceae
Source: RNAcentral
AAGGCUUAGUUGAGUUGAGUUUGAGUUUACAAAUAUUUUUAAAACAUCCAUCACAACAUGUCAAAGCAGGUUUUCCAACUGCAAAAUGCACAUUUUGACUUGUCAAGUUAGAGUUUAGGAAGAGAAGGGAAGAUAUGUCUGGAGCUUCCCUUUUUCAUGCCAGAUGAAUUCCAUCAAUCAAGAACAUAUCCUAAAUGGGUUUUCUUCUCCCAUAUUAUUCACCUAUCCUAUAGAAGUCUCUUGACAAUCCAUUUCUUAAUUUUCCACCUCAUCACCUUGGGUUCUCUAACAAACUAUACCAGUUCCAUGCUGGUCCGUUUUAAUUAUGCUACUCGCAUUAGGUCAUUUUGGAAGCUUUCACAAACCAACAAGCCAUUAUUUAAUUAGCCAAAUGAAAUAACUACAAAUUUGUAUAUGCCAAGCCCCCAUAUAUAGUCUUAAAUAAAAGAUAAAGCAAAAGCAUUGGACAAGAAGAUGUAAGAAUAGGAUAAGUGCAAUUCAACAAGUAGAUAAGCAGUAACGCCAUGCAUGUAGAACUAACAGUUUGAUCUGGAAAAUUUUGAUUAGAGAAUUAGUCCCACAAUACAUAGAAAAGAGUAGCUAGUAGGUAGCAUAUAGAACAAAAUAAAGAUAAGGCUGAAGUAUGAUUAGAAUAUGCUUGAUUUGAUAGAUCACAAAGACAAAAGGGUAGGCAAACAAAUGAAGAAAAAGAAGGUAAAGGGGGUUUUGGGGGGGAAGGAAGGGG